RNAcentral lists this ribosomal RNA (318 nucleotides) under uncultured bacterium. RNAcentral's name for it is "bacterial SSU rRNA". It matches the Rfam family "Bacterial small subunit ribosomal RNA", at positions 29 to 351 of the family's 1533-position model. The record is from RNAcentral.
AAUAAACGCUGGCGGCGUGCCUAACACAUGCAAGUCGAGCGAGAAAGUUCCUUCGGGAACAAGUACAGCGGCAAACGGGUGAGUUACGCGUGAGAAUCUACCUUUUAGUGAAGAAUACCCUUGAGAAAUCGAGGUUAAUACUGCAUACGUCCCGAAAGGGAGAAAGAUGGCCUCUUUGCUGUCGCUAAAAGAUGAGCUUGCGUGCUAUUAGCUAGUUGGUAGGGUAAUGGCCUACCAAGGCGAUGAUGGCUAGCCGGCCUGAGAGGGUGUACGGCCACACUGGAACUUAGACACGGUCCAGACUCCUACGGGUGGCAG